GGGUUGUGAGGUUAAGCGACUAAGCGUACACGGUGGAUGCCCUGGCAGUCAGAGGCGAUGAAGGACGUGCUAAUCUGCGAAAAGCGCCGGCGAGGUGAUAUGAACCCUUGACCCGGCGAUGUCCGAAUGGGGAAACCCAGUGCAAUCCGUUGCACUAUCGUUAACUGAAUACAUAGGUUAACGAGGCGAACCGGGGGAACUGAAACAUCUAAGUACCCCGAGGAAAAGAAAUCAACCGAGAUUCCCCCAGUAGCGGCGAGCGAACGGGGAGCAGCCCGGAGUCUGAAUCAGCUUGUGUGUUAGUGGAACGGUCUGGAAAGUCCGACGGUACAGGGUGAUAGUCCCGUACACGAAAGCACACUUGCUGUGAACUCGAAGAGUAGGGCGGGACACGUGGUAUCCUGUCUGAAUAUGGGGGGACCAUCCUCCAAGGCUAAAUACUCCUGACUGACCGAUAGUGAACCAGUACCGUGAGGGAAAGGCGAAAAGAACCCCGGCGAGGGGAGUGAAAAAGAACCUGAAACCGUGUACGUACAAGCAGUGGGAGCCUCUUUAUGGGGUGACUGCGUACCUUUUGUAUAAUGGGUCAGCGACUUAUAUUCUGUAGCAAGGUUAACCGUAUAGGGGAGCCGAAGGGAAACCGAGUCUUAACUGGGCGUUAAGUUGCAGGGUAUAGACCCGAAACCCGGUGAUCUAGCCAUGGGCAGGUUGAAGGUUGGGUAACACUAACUGGAGGACCGAACCGACUAAUGUUGAAAAAUUAGCGGAUGACCUGUGGCUGGGGGUGAAAGGCCAAUCAAACCGGGAGAUAGCUGGUUCUCCCCGAAAGCUAUUUAGGUAGCGCCUCGUGAACUCAUCUUCGGGGGUAGAGCACUGUUUCGGCUAGGGGGCCAUCCCGGCUUACCAACCCGAUGCAAACUACGAAUACCGAAGAAUGUUAUCACGGGAGACACACGGCGGGUGCUAACGUCCGUCGUGAAGAGGGAAACAACCCAGACCGCCAGCUAAGGUCCCAAAGUCAUGGUUAAGUGGGAAACGAUGUGGGAAGGCACAGACAGCCAGGAUGUUGGCUUAGAAGCAGCCAUCAUUUAAAGAAAGCGUAAUAGCUCACUGGUCGAGUCGGCCUGCGCGGAAGAUGUAACGGGGCUAAACCAUGCACCGAAGCUGCGGCAGCGACACUAUGUGUUGUUGGGUAGGGGAGCGUUCUGUAAGCCGUUGAAGGUGUGCUGUGAGGCAUGCUGGAGGUAUCAGAAGUGCGAAUGCUGACAUAAGUAACGAUAAAGCGGGUGAAAAGCCCGCUCGCCGGAAGACCAAGGGUUCCUGUCCAACGUUAAUCGGGGCAGGGUGAGUCGACCCCUAAGGCGAGGCCGAAAGGCGUAGUCGAUGGGAAACAGGUUAAUAUUCCUGUACUUGGUGUUACUGCGAAGGGGGGACGGAGAAGGCUAUGUCAGCCGGGCGACGGUUGUCCCGGUUUAAGCAUGUAGGCGGAGGUUCCAGGUAAAUCCGGUACCUUAUUAACGCUGAGGUGUGAUGACGAGGCACUACGGUGCUGAAGUGAUAAAUGCCCUGCUUCCAGGAAAAGCCUCUAAGCAUCAGGUAACACGAAAUCGUACCCCAAACCGACACAGGUGGUCAGGUAGAGAAUACCAAGGCGCUUGAGAGAACUCGGGUGAAGGAACUAGGCAAAAUGGUGCCGUAACUUCGGGAGAAGGCACGCUGAUAUGUAGGUGAAGCCCCUGCGGGCGGAGCUGAAAUCAGUCGAAGAUACCAGCUGGCUGCAACUGUUUAUUAAAAACACAGCACUGUGCAAACACGAAAGUGGACGUAUACGGUGUGACGCCUGCCCGGUGCCGGAAGGUUAAUUGAUGGGGUUAGCGGCAACGCGAAGCUCUUGAUCGAAGCCCCGGUAAACGGCGGCCGUAACUAUAACGGUCCUAAGGUAGCGAAAUUCCUUGUCGGGUAAGUUCCGACCUGCACGAAUGGCGUAAUGAUGGCCAGGCUGUCUCCACCCGAGACUCAGUGAAAUUGAACUCGCUGUGAAGAUGCAGUGUACCCGCGGCAAGACGGAAAGACCCCGUGAACCUUUACUAUAGCUUGACACUGAACACUGGUCCUUGAUGUGUAGGAUAGGUGGGAGGCUUUGAAGCGUGGACGCCAGUCUGCGUGGAGCCAACCUUGAAAUACCACCCUUUAAUGGCUGGUGUUCUAACGUAGACCCGUAAUCCGGGUUGCGGACAGUGUCUGGUGGGUAGUUUGACUGGGGCGGUCUCCUCCCAAAGAGUAACGGAGGAGCACGAAGGUUGGCUAAUCCUGGUCGGACAUCAGGAGGUUAGUGCAAUGGCAUAAGCCAGCUUGACUGCGAGCGUGACGGCGCGAGCAGGUGCGAAAGCAGGUCAUAGUGAUCCGGUGGUUCUGAAUGGAAGGGCCAUCGCUCAACGGAUAAAAGGUACUCCGGGGAUAACAGGCUGAUACCGCCCAAGAGUUCAUAUCGACGGCGGUGUUUGGCACCUCGAUGUCGGCUCAUCACAUCCUGGGGCUGAAGUAGGUCCCAAGGGUAUGGCUGUUCGCCAUUUAAAGUGGUACGCGAGCUGGGUUUAGAACGUCGUGAGACAGUUCGGUCCCUAUCUGCCGUGGGCGCUGGAGAAUUGAGGGGGGCUGCUCCUAGUACGAGAGGACCGGAGUGGACGCAUCACUGGUGUUCGGGUUGUCAUGCCAAUGGCA
This 2721-nucleotide ribosomal RNA is filed under the name Enterobacter hormaechei. RNAcentral describes it as "partial 23S ribosomal RNA". It matches the Rfam family "Bacterial large subunit ribosomal RNA". Lineage: Bacteria; Pseudomonadati; Pseudomonadota; Gammaproteobacteria; Enterobacterales; Enterobacteriaceae. The record is from RNAcentral.